CCUACGGGAGGCUGCAGUGAGGAAUAUUGGUCAAUGGGCGAGAGCCUGAACCAGCCAAGUCGCGUGAAGGAUGACGGACCUAUGGGUUGUAAACUUCUUUUAUAUGGGAAUAAAGUGAGGAACGUAUUCCUUCUUGUAUGUACCAUAUGAAUAAGCAUCGGCUAACUCCGUGCCAGCAGCCGCGGUAAUACGGAGGAUGCGAGCGUUAUCCGGAUUUAUUGGGUUUAAAGGGUGCGUAGGUGGAUAGUUAAGUCAGUGGUGAAAGUUUGUGGCUCAACCGUAAAAUUGCAGUUGAAACUGGCUGACGUGAGUAUAGUUGAGGUAGGCGGAAUGCGUGGUGUAGCGGUGAAAUGCAUAGAUAUCACGCAGAACUCCGAUUGCGAAGGCAGCUUACUAAACUACAACUGACACUGAUGCACGAAAGUGUGGGGAUCAAACAGGAUUAGAUACCCUAGUAGUC
RNAcentral lists this ribosomal RNA (460 nucleotides) under uncultured bacterium. RNAcentral describes it as "partial 16S ribosomal RNA". It matches the Rfam family "Bacterial small subunit ribosomal RNA", at positions 338 to 795 of the family's 1533-position model. The record is from RNAcentral.